RNAcentral lists this transfer RNA (72 nucleotides) under Penicillium roqueforti FM164. RNAcentral describes it as "tRNA-Arg (TCG) (tRNA-Arg-TCG-2-1)". It matches the Rfam family "tRNA". From Rfam's summary of the family: Transfer RNA (tRNA) molecules are approximately 80 nucleotides in length. Their secondary structure includes four short double-helical elements and three loops (D, anti-codon, and T loops). Lineage: Eukaryota; Fungi; Ascomycota; Eurotiomycetes; Eurotiales; Aspergillaceae. The record is from RNAcentral.
GGGCGGCUGGCCUAAUGGUAAGGCGUUUGAUUUCGGCUCAAAAAAUUGCAGGUUCGAUCCCUGCGUCGCUCA